Stylophora pistillata is the source of this 3756-nucleotide unclassified non-coding RNA. The record is from RefSeq and is a predicted model, not a curated record. NCBI's taxonomy places the organism in Eukaryota, Metazoa, Cnidaria, Anthozoa, Scleractinia, Pocilloporidae.
UCGUUACGUUGUUGAUAUCUUAAUUGAUAAUUGGGGUUCUAAUUACAAAUAGAAGGCUGGCAAAUAUCGAUGAUAUUUUCCACCACCUCGACUGAAAUCAGUCUAACUAUAAAAUAAUGUCGCAAUCAGAGGAGAACGCCAUCCAACUGUAGUUUAUGUCCACAGAUAACACCGAGGUGCUUUCAAAUGUUGCUUUGGGGAGGAACAUUGGGUUGAAAAAUCUAAUGAAGAGAACCGCAGUCGAGAUCUUCGUCGCAAAGAAAUAUCGCACGUCUUUCUUCCAAUUUUGAAGUUAAUGAAGCUCACUGGUGAAUGCUAUGGGGACCUUUCUUUCGAAUAAUUUUCGCAUCGAAGAAGCCUCUUUUGUCGUCUCUACUGUAUGAUGGUGGUACUCGGGCAAUGGUUCGUUGCAAUACAGGUUCUCACAAGUCUUUUUUGUGAGGGUUUUGGAAAACUUCCAACAUUUUACUUUUUGUUGACUUUCAGCAUUUUGGUGUGCAAAGUCUGCUGUAGUGUCAACAAUAUGCCUUUUCGUUUUUCCCAAAAGGAUAGAAAAGCCUUCUCGCCUUGAAAAACUUGUGAAUGACUUAGUCUCACCAUCAUCUUAUUUGAGUGGAGUCAAUACGCGUAAACUUAGAUUCGCUCUAAUUUUUGUGGGCAUCUUUUGCACAUGCAACUCUAUUUGCCUCGCACUUCUUGAAUUUUAUGGACAUAGCUCAGUGGCCCGUUUUUGUCCAUGGAAUGGGCUUCUUGUAUAUCGCACGAUCCAUCUGGUUUUUGGAGCAUAUAAUUGCUUUUCGUGGCUAUUACCGUUGGUAUUGUUCUUUGCCUCAUGCGAAGUACUGAUCACAAUGUCUGUACAUUUAGAAAGAAAAAUAUCAGAAGAGAGCAGCAAAGGAUUAAGCAUGAAGUCAUUGAGACAGGAACAUCUUAAACUCUGUGAAACAGUAGCUCUUGCAGACAAAGUAUUUUCCCCAAUUCUUCUGUUUGUAGUUUCCCUGGAUGUUCCUUUGAUAUGCAUUAAUGUUCAUCAGGGAGUACGACUGUCAUCUUUUAGUAAAAGCGACAUCACAUUUGUAAUAAGCGUUUCGUAUUAGUGUAUUUUAUUAGCUGGAAAGCUAGUAUUUAUCUUGAUCUGUGGAAUCAGAGUCAACGAGAAGGUGAGAAUCUCCAUUGCUGUUUCCAAUUGUGUGCUUUUGUGAUACCCAUGUGUGUGAGCCUUUGAAAAGGGAAGUCACUAUAUUACAAUAUACCUGUCACAUUUUUGCAUACAUAGAGGCCAAGUUUUUCAGUCCAUUUCUCCUUUCUAUGUACACAUGUUUUUAGCAAUUAUUCCCGAGUCAACGUACUGUUCGGGUGGUUUUUGGGUGGUGUUGGAGCUGUAUAUCCUCUUAAUAGUAAGCAGAUAUCAAACCCUUCCUCUUUAAAAUGAGACAAUUAUUUCAAAAUUCUGUGUUUUUCUUUCUCUGUAGAUUCAUAACUUUUAUAACAUCUUACAAUAUGUCAAUGUCCCGGAUACCAAAGAGCAUUUGGAGCUGCUGGGCAUAAUCAUAUCUUAUAUUGCUGUUUUGCUCACCCUGCCGAGUUAGACGAAUGGUAACGUUAGAGAGUAUAGAACAGCCACCGUCCAUAGCAUGGAUAUUGACGAAACGUGGGGUCGAAAUGGAGUUUCCUAAUGCAUUAUGGAUGAUAAAAAGGAUCGAAGCUUCUUUGCUUGUGACGCAUUUGCUGUUUUUGAUGAUUUUAAUAUAUAUGCAAUUUUAUUUGCCCGUGUAAGAAAAAAUGUCAUCAUAAAUUCAUUUCACUGGACAACUCUAAAAGGAGAUGUCUAUUUCAUUGAAAUUAUUGAAAUAAAUAGAUAUGUAAAGGAGAAUUUUCCGGAUUUUUGGUAUAAGCAAUUUUUUUUUAUAAAAAUAUUUAAAUCAGGUUAGAAUUGUUUGUUUCCCUCUUCUUUAUUUUCCAUUUGGAAAAUUUUUCUUCGUCUUCAAAUUCAAGUAAAUAAAAAGAUGCUAACAUGAGAACCUGGUAUAAGUAGUGAUGGCAUGGUUAAUUUUCGGUUCAAAAGCAUUCCUGUUAAAUUUUUCUCCUUCUUUUCCUAUAAAACAUUGAUUAUUGCCAAACUAUUUGCAAAGGUAAUCAGUUGAAGUAACCAAUCCUAUCUUCGACAAACAUCCUCUAAAUUCUAUCUAUUCCCUUUUCCAGUUCAUUAUCAUUCAUAUUUCCUGAUGUAUUAUAUAUAUCUUUCCAGUGUUUCGGUCAUUUGGACCUUUGUAAUGUAAACAUGGGGACUUAAAUUAAUUAACUUUAUCAUUCUGGCGAAUUUAAGUUGCCAUAUUUUCAUUUCAUGAUCGUUAUUCCGACUAGUUCCAUAGACUCCUCUUGCUGGAUUGAUAGCAAAUUCAAUAAAGAGAAAAAAAGAAGGUAGGGGCCGGGUAUAACCUUGAAAUUUAGGUAACAUCUAUUACAGAUCAAUCGUGGCAUUUAACAAUAUAAAAGUUAACAGAUGAUUAAAAAUAUGAUAUAUUACUUUUUUCAUUUAGAUUUGUUUCAUAAUGAGAUGUGACAAAUUUACUUCAUAAAAGCCUUCCUGGAGAAGUUGUUGAAAAGCGACAAUUCAAGAGAGAGGGACACAAUUUUCUUCUUUACUUUCUUAUAUUGGUGGAUGGGCCUGUCGUCGCAGAUAGCAGUCAUCUUCAUGUUUGGAAUUAGAGUUCAUGAGAAGAUCCAUGGUAUUUAUGACGCCUUACAGCAGAUUGUCGUCGCUGAUUGUAAAGAACACUUGGAGUUGCUUCAUUUCUUGAUGCAUCUUCGUGGAGAGCCAAUCGGGAUGUCCGUGGGAGGACUGGUGGUGAUAAACAAAUCACUUCUUCUUUCGGUGGUUGGGAUAAUCAUCUCAUAUCUUGCAGUACUGUUAACAUUACCGGCAUAAAUGGCUUUCCUUGACGAUGCUGUGACAGUGUAGUGUGGGUUUUUUGGUUGCUAUGGGAAACAAGCCAAUGCGAAUGAAAUAGGCGGGGCGUUUUGAUCAUUUUAACAUUUACAUGACUCGCGAUUAUUGUAAAUCAUCAAGGAAGAUGAUUUAACUGGAUUGAAAAAUUAGCUAAGGUAAUGUAUUAAGUAAUCACGUUAUCAAGAUAAUUUGUUUCGUCCUCUUAUGCUCCAAUGACGAAAAAGUUAUGAAGGAUUUCCCAGUCUACUAACAGGAGCGAUUCUCAAGUGUCAGAAGUUUUGCAGAAUUGCUUUAUUUCUGCUCUUAUUAGACCUGUCUUUGUUAAGAAAACACGCAUCAUCCUCUCGACCAAUCAAGUGAUAAAUGAACUAUUAUCGUGACCUUGUUACUUGCGUCCUCAUUAACUAAUGAUGAUGUUAAUCAUUGUUAUGCAGUUUGGUUGCUACGAUUCUGGCUUUAUGACAGCUAAUUAGAAGUUGCUUAAGAUGGGCGAAUUUCUUUGAAUUUACAACUGUUACGUUUUCCUUUCGGCUAAGAAAUUCAAAAACUGAACUGUGCGUUCUUAAAAGUAGUAAAGUACCACGACGCUUCAGAAGAAUUUGUAUAGAAUAGUUAAGAGUAUUUCACUCAUUACCUCUCGUGUUUAGAAUGCAAAUGUAACCUUACUAUUUAGAAACUGAUAAAAAUAAACAUAAUAAUAAUAAUGAUGAUGAUAUCAAUCAUUUUAUUUAUAAAAAUUAGUGUCACUGUAUUCAUAAUAAUGAAUUACUUAACCAAUAUUAUUAGCGAAUAGUGAUUAAUGCAGA